UACAGAGGGUGCAAGCGUUAAUCGGAAUUACUGGGCGUAAAGCGCACGUAGGCGGCUUGGCAAGUUGGGUGUGAAAUCCCCGGGCUCAACCUGGGAAUUGCAUUCAAGACUGCCUUGCUCGAGUUUGGUAGAGGGAAGUGGAAUUCCAGGUGUAGCGGUGAAAUGCGUAGAUAUCUGGAGGAACAUCAGUGGCGAAGGCGACUUCCUGGCCCAAAACUGACGCUGAGGUGCGAAAGCGUGGGGAGCAAAC
RNAcentral lists this ribosomal RNA (250 nucleotides) under uncultured bacterium. RNAcentral describes it as "partial 16S ribosomal RNA". It matches the Rfam family "Bacterial small subunit ribosomal RNA", at positions 524 to 773 of the family's 1533-position model. The record is from RNAcentral.